AUAAUAAUAAUACAAUAGAGAGAGAAAGAGAGGAAACACUAUGCCAUGAAUGUUUAUCAUCUUUCGUGGGCAUGCUUUUCUACAUACUUCAAAUACCUUCAACAGGGAUCACCAAAAAAUGUCAUAUCUACCUAUAAUAAUUGGGGAAGAAAGUUAAUUGCCUAAGAAAAUAGCAAUUAAGCACAUUAGUACUUUGCAACACAAGUUUUUAAAUUGUGUUCUUGUAAGCUGCUGCAUGAGCCUGCUUACAGAAUUACUAACUUAUUCUGCUGGUUUUCUGUAUGAGUCAAUUUCAGAGGAACCUUAGAAACGAGUAUAUUUUGAACCUUAAAUUUUAAGUCUUUUUUAUGUAGCAAACUAUAUAAUGUCAUAAAUUAAGAAAAGUCUGUUAUCUUUUAACAAAAGAUAUAAUUUCAAAAUCAGGUUUUGUCGUAUGUUAAAAAAUAAUUCCUUUGAGGUUAAUCCUUGAGCUUACAUGUAUUUUAUCUGCUCGAAAGUAAUAACAGGCUGAGUUCCAUGUUCUUAUUUCAGGGUUCUGGAUUGUCCCAACUGUCUACACAUCUGCCUGUCUGAAUCCUAAUCCUGUGUAUUUUCCAAAUAGGCAAAACUCAAGACAUCAUCAACUACUGUCAUUCAUAAAACUCCUGAGAAAUCACCUGGAAAUAUUGAGAAAGGAUAAUGUGGAGAAAAAUGCCAUCAAGGCCAAAUUUAGAUGGAUGGAAACAAUGUUUUAAAAUAUAAGUGGAUUAAAAUAUAACCAUGAAUUUUUA
Molecule: long non-coding RNA, 770 nt
Organism: Myotis brandtii (Brandt's bat)
Lineage: Eukaryota; Metazoa; Chordata; Mammalia; Chiroptera; Vespertilionidae
Exons: 2
Source: RefSeq, a predicted model, not a curated record